Molecule: ribosomal RNA, 506 nt
Filed under: uncultured bacterium
Lineage: Bacteria
Description: partial 16S ribosomal RNA
Rfam family: Bacterial small subunit ribosomal RNA
Source: RNAcentral
AUUGAACGCUGGCGGCAGGCCUAACACAUGCAAGUCGAACGGUAACAGGAAACAGCUUGCUGUUUCGCUGACGAGUGGCGGACGGGUGAGUAAUGUCUGGGAAACUGCCUGAUGGAGGGGGAUAACUACUGGAAACGGUAGCUAAUACCGCAUAACGUCGCAAGACCAAAGAGGGGGACCUUCGGGCCUCUUGCCAUCGGAUGUGCCCAGGGGGGAUUAGCUAGUAGGUGGGGUAACGGCCCACCUAGGCGACGAUCCCGUGCUGGUGUGAGAGGAUGACCAGCCACACUGGAACUGAGACACGGUCCAGACUCCUACGGGAGGCAGCAGUGGGGAAUAUUGCACAAUGGGCGCAAGCCUGAUGCAGCCAUGCCGCGUGUAUGAAGAAGGCCUUCGGGUUGUAAAGUACUUUCAGCGGGGAGGAAGGGAGUAAAGUUAAUACCUUUGCUCAUUGACGUUACCCGCAGAAGAAGCACCGGCUAACUCCGUGCCAGCCGCCGCCGUAA